UACGGGGGGGGCAAGCGUUGUUCGGAAUUACUGGGCGUAAAGGGCUCGUAGGCGGCCAACUAAGUCGGAUGUGAAAUCCCCAGGCUCAACUUGGGAACUGCAUCCGAUACUGGAUGGCUUGAAUUCGGGAGAGGGAUGCAGAAUUCCAGGUGUAGCGGUGAAAUGCGUAGAUAUCUGGAGGAAUACCGGUGGCGAAGGCGGAUCUCUGGGCCUUACCUGACGCUGAGGCGCGAAAGCUAGGGGAGCAAACAGG
Molecule: ribosomal RNA, 253 nt
Filed under: uncultured bacterium
Lineage: Bacteria
Description: partial 16S ribosomal RNA
Rfam family: Bacterial small subunit ribosomal RNA
Source: RNAcentral